UACGUAGGUGGCAAGCGUUGUCCGGAUUUACUGGGCGUAAAGAGCGCGCAGGCGGUCAGAUAAGUCGAAUGUGAAAUCCCCGGGCUCAACCCGGGAACUGCGUCCGAUACUGGCAGGCUUGAAUCCGGGAGAGGGAUGUGGAAUUCCAGGUGUAGCGGUGAAAUGCGUAGAUAUCUGGAGGAACACCGGUGGCGAAGGCGGCAUCCUGGACCGGUAUUGACGCUGAGGCGCGAAAGCCAGGGGAGCAAACGGG
Molecule: ribosomal RNA, 253 nt
Filed under: uncultured bacterium
Lineage: Bacteria
Description: partial 16S ribosomal RNA
Rfam family: Bacterial small subunit ribosomal RNA
Source: RNAcentral